GCAACAUUCAGCUCUAAUUCGAAAACAAAGUUGGGUUUCAUUUGAAUUCUAAUGAAAUAUUUAGAAUAUUCGUAGAAUAUUCUAAUUUUCUUCCCCAAAAAUUAUCUUCCCAAAAAUUAUCUCCCCCUAUACUUUCAGUACCUAACUUCAUUUUGCAUAAAUAUACUGGAACGAAAUUUGAAUAGUAAUAAAUGCUGUGAGGGGGGGGAGGAUGGGGGAGAGUAAAAUAGAGAGAAAGUUAUAGAAUAAUAUAGAGAGAAGAGAUUAUUCUCCAAUCUGAAUUCAC
Molecule: non-coding RNA, 286 nt
Organism: Paramuricea clavata
Lineage: Eukaryota; Metazoa; Cnidaria; Anthozoa; Malacalcyonacea; Plexauridae
Source: the annotation of a GenBank genome assembly